RNAcentral lists this ribosomal RNA (465 nucleotides) under uncultured bacterium. RNAcentral's name for it is "partial 16S ribosomal RNA". It matches the Rfam family "Bacterial small subunit ribosomal RNA", at positions 28 to 507 of the family's 1533-position model. The record is from RNAcentral.
GACGAACGCUGGCGGCGUGCUUAACACAUGCAAGUCGAACGGAAAGGCCCCUUUGGGGGUACUCGAGUGGCGAACGGGUGCGUAACACGUGAGUAACCUGCCCUUGACUUCUGGAUAACUGCAGGAACCUGGGGCUAAUACCGGAAAGGACGCAUUGCUGCAUGGGGGGGGAUGGAAAGCUUCUGGGGUUUUGGAUGGACUCGCGGCGUAUCAGCUUGUUGGUGGGGUGGUAGCUUACCAAGGCUCUGACGGGUAGCCGGCCUGAGGGGGUGACCGGCCAUCCUGGGACCGACGUGCGGCCCAGGCUCCGACGGUUGGCAGCAGGGGGGAAUAUUGCACCAUGGGCGGCAGCCUGAUGAAGCAACGCCGCGUGCGGGAUGACGGCCUUCUGGUGGAAAAACGCCAUCAGCAGAGGCGAAGCUUGUGGUGACGGUACCUGCAGAAGAAGCACCGGCUAACUACGUG